RNAcentral lists this ribosomal RNA (441 nucleotides) under uncultured bacterium. Its description in RNAcentral is "partial 16S ribosomal RNA". It matches the Rfam family "Bacterial small subunit ribosomal RNA", at positions 338 to 795 of the family's 1533-position model. The record is from RNAcentral.
CCUACGGGGGGCAGCAGUGGGGAAUAUUGCACAAUGGGCGAAAGCCUGAUGCAGCAACGCCGCGUGAAGGAAGACGGUUUUCGGAUUGUAAACUUCUGUUCUUAGUGAAGAAUAAUGACGGUAACUAAGGAGCAAGCCACGGCUAACUACGUGCCAGCAGCCGCGGUAAUACGUAGGUGCCAAGCGUUGUCCGGAAUUACUGGGUGUAAAGGGAGCGUAGGCGGGAAGCCAAGGCAGCUGUGAAAACUACGGGCUUAACCUGUAGACUGCAGUUGAAACUGGCUUUCUUGAGUGAAGUAGAGGUUGGCGGAAUGCGGGGUGUAGCGGUGAAAUGCGUAGAUAUUCGGAAGAACACCGAUGGCGAAGGCGGCAAACUGGGGUUUAACUGACGCUGAGGCUCGAAAGUGUGGGGAGCAAACAGGAUUAGAUACCCGAGUAGUC